UACGUAGGUGGCAAGCGUUAUCCGGAUUCACUGGGUGUAAAGGGAGCGUAGACGGCCAUGCAAGCCAGGGGUGAAAGCCCGGGGCCCAACCCCGGGACUGCCCUUGGAACUGCAUGGCUGGAGUGCGGGAGGGGCAGGCGGAAUUCCUGGUGUAGCGGUGAAAUGCGUAGAUAUCAGGAGGAACACCGGCGGCGAAGGCGGCCUGCUGGACCGCGACUGACGUUGAGGCUCGAAAGCGUGGGGAGCAAACAGG
This 253-nucleotide ribosomal RNA is filed under the name uncultured bacterium. RNAcentral describes it as "partial 16S ribosomal RNA". It matches the Rfam family "Bacterial small subunit ribosomal RNA", at positions 524 to 776 of the family's 1533-position model. The record is from RNAcentral.